UACGUAGGGGGCGAGCGUUGUCCGGAUUUAUUGGGCGUAAAGAGCGCGCAGGCGGCUGGUCAAGUCCGAUGUGAAAGCUCCCGGCUUAACUGGGAAAUUGCAUCGGAAACUGAUCGGCUGGAAGGUGGGAGAGGGUAGCGGAAUUCCCGGUGUAGUGGUGAAAUGCGUAGAUAUCGGGAGGAACACCAGUGGCGAAAGCGGCUACCUGGCCCAUUCUUGACGCUGAGGCGCGAAAGCUAGGGGAGCAAACGGG
Molecule: ribosomal RNA, 253 nt
Filed under: uncultured bacterium
Lineage: Bacteria
Description: partial 16S ribosomal RNA
Rfam family: Bacterial small subunit ribosomal RNA
Source: RNAcentral